RNAcentral lists this ribosomal RNA (411 nucleotides) under Escherichia coli. Its description in RNAcentral is "bacterial SSU rRNA". It matches the Rfam family "Bacterial small subunit ribosomal RNA", at positions 283 to 686 of the family's 1533-position model. Lineage: Bacteria; Pseudomonadati; Pseudomonadota; Gammaproteobacteria; Enterobacterales; Enterobacteriaceae. The record is from RNAcentral.
CUAGCUGGUCUGAGAGGAUGACCAGCCACACUGGAACUGAGACACGGUCCAGACUCCUACGGGAGGCAGCAGUGGGGAAUAUUGCACAAUGGGCGCAAGCCUGAUGCAGCCAUGCCGCGUGUAUGAAGAAGGCCUUCGGGUUGUAAAGUACUUUCAGCGGGGAGGAAGGGAGUAAAGUUAAUACCUUUGCUCAUUGACGUUACCCGCAGAAGAAGCACCGGCUAACUCCGUGCCAGCAGCCGCGGUAAUACGGAGGGUGCAAGCGUUAAUCGGAAUUACUGGGCGUAAAGCGCACGCAGGCGGUUUGUUAAGUCAGAUGUGAAAUCCCCGGGCUCAACCUGGGAACUGCAUCUGAUACUGGCAAGCUUGAGUCUCGUAGAGGGGGGUAGAAUUCCAGGUGUAGCGGUGAAA